This 301-nucleotide ribosomal RNA is filed under the name uncultured bacterium. Its description in RNAcentral is "partial 16S ribosomal RNA". It matches the Rfam family "Bacterial small subunit ribosomal RNA", at positions 509 to 808 of the family's 1533-position model. The record is from RNAcentral.
CAGCCGCCGCGGUAAUACGUAGGUCCCGAGCGUUGUCCGGAUUUAUUGGGCGUAAAGCGAGCGCAGGCGGUUAGAUAAGUCUGAAGUUAAAGGCUGUGGCUUAACCAUAGUACGCUUUGGAAACUGUUUAACUUGAGUGCAAGAGGGGAGAGUGGAAUUCCAUGUGUAGCGGUGAAAUGCGUAGAUAUAUGGAGGAACACCGGUGGCGAAAGUGGCUCUCUGGCUUGUAACUGACGCUGAGGCUCGAAAGCGUGGGGAGCAAACAGGAUUAGAUACCCGCGUAGUCCCUGUCUCUUAUACA